CAGACCUCUAAUCGGAAAAGACUACCCGCUGAGUUUAAGCAUAUCACUAAGCGGAGGAGAA
Molecule: non-coding RNA, 61 nt
Filed under: Scorpidium scorpioides
Lineage: Eukaryota; Viridiplantae; Streptophyta; Bryopsida; Hypnales; Amblystegiaceae
Also listed under: 2 other names
Description: partial 25S ribosomal RNA
Rfam family: Eukaryotic large subunit ribosomal RNA
Source: RNAcentral